CUAAUGCUGUUGCUGCCAUUGGAGCCAGUCAGGUUCACAGCCGAGUCCUGGCGACUCUCAGAGGCUGUGGGGAGAAGAAACCUAUCAGGAUGACCACAAGUACGUGGGCAGCGUCCUCCCCAGCCCCCCUUGAGCUUCUCAGGGCUGUGUGUGCCACACUUAAGCUACCAAUACGACUGCAUUUGUCAAGCAGAAACAAAAAGGUUCUGCACCUGCAGACCCAACAACUGUGCAUGGAAAACAGUGGGAAGAACAGCACACUGGAGCCAGGCCCUUGGGAGGCUGAGGCAGGAGGAUGCUCAAGGCCAACUUCUGCAAUUUAGUGAGACCCUGUCUCAAAAUAAUUUUUUUUUUUUCCAAAGGGCUGUGGCAUAGCUCAGUGAUUAAGAGUGUCCCUGGAUUCCAUCUCCAGCGCCAGAAAAAAAUUAUGCCUGGACAGACUCCGAACAAUACAGUGUAACAACUACA
Molecule: long non-coding RNA, 468 nt
Organism: Marmota monax (woodchuck)
Lineage: Eukaryota; Metazoa; Chordata; Mammalia; Rodentia; Sciuridae
Exons: 2
Source: RefSeq, a predicted model, not a curated record